RNAcentral lists this ribosomal RNA (639 nucleotides) under uncultured euryarchaeote. RNAcentral's name for it is "bacterial SSU rRNA". It matches the Rfam family "Archaeal small subunit ribosomal RNA", at positions 239 to 879 of the family's 1478-position model. The record is from RNAcentral. Lineage: Archaea; Methanobacteriati; Methanobacteriota.
GGGUAACGUCCCAACAAGCCGAUAAUCGGUACGGGUUGUGAGAGCAAGAGCCCGGAGAUGGAUUCUGAGACACGAAUCCAGGUCCUACGGGGCGCAGCAGGCGCGAAAACUUUACACUGCGCGAAAGCGCGAUAAGGGGACCUCGAGUGCGUGCGCAAUGCGUACGCUUUUCAGAUGCCUAAAAAGCAUCUGGAAUAAGGGCCGGGCAAGACCGGUGCCAGCCGCCGCGGUAACACCGGCGGCUCAAGUGGUGGCCGCUAUUAUUGGGCUUAAAGGGUCCGUAGCCGGACCAGUUAGUCCCUUGGGAAAUCUUACGGCUUAACCGUAAGGCUGCCAAUGGAUACUGCUGGUCUUGGGACCGGGAGAGGUAAGAGGUACUUCAGGGGUAGGAGUGAAAUCCUGUAAUCCUUGAGGGACCGCCAGUGGCGAAGGCGUCUUACUAGAACGGGUCCGACGGUGAGGGACGAAAGCUAGGGGCACGGACCGGAUUAGAUACCCGGGUAGUCCUAGCCGUAAACGAUGCGAGCUAGGUGUCACGUGGAUUGCGAAUCCAUGUGGUGCCGAAGGGAAACCGUGAAGCUCGCCGCCUGGGAAGUACGGCCGCAAGGCUGAAACUUAAAGGAAUUGGCGGGGGAGCAC